AUUGAACGCUGGCGGCAUGCCUUACACAUGCAAGUCGAACGGCAGCACGGGAGCAAUCCUGGUGGCGAGUGGCGAACGGGUGAGUAAAGUAUCGGAACGUGCCCAGUCGUGGGGGAUAACGUAGCGAAAGUUACGCUAAUAACGCAUACGAUCUAUGGAUGAAAGCGGGGGAUCGCAAGACCUCGCGCGAUUGGAGCGGCCGAGAUCAGAUUAGGUAGUUGGUGGGGUAAAGGCUCACCAAGGCGACGAUCUUUAGCUGGUCUGAGAGGACGACCAGCCACAAUGGGACUGUGACACGGCCCAGACUCCUACGGGAGGCAGCAGUGGGGAAUUUUGGCCAAUGGGCGAAAGCCUGAUCCAGCCAUGCCGCGUGCAGGAUGAAGGCCUUCGGGUUGUAAACUGCUUUUGUACGGAACGAAAAGGUUUGGCCUAAUAAGCUGAGCUCAUGACGGUACCGUAAGAAUAAGCACCGGCUAACUACGUGCCAGCCGCCGCCGUAA
RNAcentral lists this ribosomal RNA (500 nucleotides) under uncultured bacterium. RNAcentral describes it as "partial 16S ribosomal RNA". It matches the Rfam family "Bacterial small subunit ribosomal RNA", at positions 30 to 523 of the family's 1533-position model. The record is from RNAcentral.